AGAGUUUGAUUCUGGCUCAGGAUGAACGCUAGCUACAGGCUUAACACAUGCAAGUCGAGGGGCAACAUGAUUGAAGCUUGCUUCAAUUGAUGGCGACCGGCGCACGGGUGAGUAACGCGUAUCCAACCUUCCGUACACUCAGGGAUAGCCUUUCGAAAGAAAGAUUAAUACCUGAUGGUAUGAUGAGAUUGCAUGAUAGCAUCAUUAAAGAUUUAUCGGUGUACGAUGGGGAUGCGUUCCAUUAGGUAGUAGGCGGGGUAACGGCCCACCUAGCCAACGAUGGAUAGGGGUUCUGAGAGGAAGGUCCCCCACAUUGGAACUGAGACACGGUCCAA
RNAcentral lists this ribosomal RNA (335 nucleotides) under uncultured bacterium. Its description in RNAcentral is "bacterial SSU rRNA". It matches the Rfam family "Bacterial small subunit ribosomal RNA", at positions 8 to 334 of the family's 1533-position model. The record is from RNAcentral.